Molecule: non-coding RNA, 2098 nt
Organism: Aegilops tauschii subsp. strangulata
Lineage: Eukaryota; Viridiplantae; Streptophyta; Magnoliopsida; Poales; Poaceae
Source: RefSeq, a predicted model, not a curated record
CCGUCCAAUGUUGCCUUUGGCAACUACACCAGAGGUGCCAAAGGCAUCCAAUCCAACUCAGGUGGAGGCCAAGGAGGUUCAGCUCUCGGACAUUGCACCAAUAAUGCUGGAUGAUACCGACGUGAAGACUAAAAUAGAUGACAUCGCUGAACUGGACAUUGCAGAGGAUUUUGAUAACCGGCCUUCCAAAAAGGCAAAAAUUUCUGAAUCACGUGUACUGGAACCAUCACCUAUGUCACCAACUAUGAAAACAUCUUCUCCAGGUUCAGAGUGUUUUGAAUCGUUUGUGCCGGAAUCAGAUAAUCAGAUGAAUCAUGAUACACUACCAUCACCUCCAUCCCCAUCUAGCUCGACAAUAUCUCCUGUUUUCCCAUUGCAUGAUAUUAAGGAACCAAAUUCACAUAAAGAGAUCAAAGUUGAUGAGACAUAUGAUUAUCUCCCACAAGACUAUACAUUGACCGACCAUGAUCUAUGUGCUCAUAUAGCAAUAGAAUCAUCUUUGAGAAAACAAUUGCUGGUUCAGAUAGAUGGAAGUUCUGUCUUGCAACAUCAAUUGAUGUGCCUGCUAGAUGAGAAAGAGUGGGUAAAUGAUGAUGUGAUCAAUGCAUAUAUAUGUUGUAUAAAGGACCAAAUACAUCUCCAGAAUGAUAAUAAAGUAUAUUUUGAGAGUCCAUUUGUUACCUCACUAUUUAAACGAGAUGGCACCAUUGGAAUACAAGAAGGUAGUGCCUUCAUGACAGAGAUUGUCCUCGAAUAUAUGCGGCAUGACAUGGUAAUCUCCAUAUUCAUAAUUUACAUGUUCUAGGUUUCAUGCAUUUUCAUUUACUAUUUUCCUAAUUAUCUUUAUUACAGAUUAAACUUCCAAUAAAUGCCAAUAACACACAUUGGUAUUUAGUUGUUGUGAAUACAAAAAAAUGUGAGGUUCAAGUUCUAGACUCAUUGUGCUGGAAUUCUGACAGAGAUGAUCUUGCUAAUACGCUACGAGGAAUACAAUUUCAUUUGGACCUUCUUAAAAGUCAAAAGUUGGUAAGCGACGAUUGGAAAGACGUUGAUCUUACUGAAUGGAAGAUCACAGAACAAUUACAAAAGGCAAUUCAAAAAGAUAGUUCUUCAUGUGGUUUAUUUAUGGUUAAAUUUAUGGAAUAUUUCACCGGAUGUGCACUAUCCUACCCAAUUACACAGGUAUAUAUCUUUUUUUAAUAAAAAGUAUGUUACUUUUACAAAAAGUACUUUUUAAAUAUACUAAUAAUUGUUCGUGUUGCACAGGAAAUGAUUACUUCUUUUAGGUUUAAGUUAGCCAGCAUACUAUUAUGUUGGAAAACAAACACUGCAGCAAUGACUACAAUCGUUGAAGAAAGUGACGAUGACAGCAAGGGAGAUCCUGAUGAUGUUCAAAUAUUGGAAAGUUUAGAUGAUAUAAAAAAACAAAAACAAAAAUCCCAUUAUAUGUUGAAAAUAAAUACAGAUCACUAAUAUCAAUUCUUUCUAAUAUGACCUUACAUGAGUUAAUAGCUGGACUCUAUAGCUUCAUUAAAUCAAUUAAUUACACCGAGAUUUUAGAGAAAGUAUGGAUCCGAAGUUCAAAACCAUAUCCAAUUAGCUUGUCUCUCAGAAAACUACAAGGAUUGCUAAAGGAUGAUUUACCCAUGGACCGUGAUUGCUUUAAUUUGAUCGUACGGAAGAUUAUGUUGGAUGACAUCCAAACAUCACAAAAAACAAAGCAACUGAUAGCAAAGCAUUAUCUCGACAUGAAAUUUUGGAUGACUACUGAUUUUGGAAGGCACCCAGAUUUUCGUAAAAAGUUAGAUGUGGAGCAACUAGCAAAUUCUGUUCGUAGUUGGCCUGGUAUCAAAUAUAAUGUUUCAACAUGCAAAUCGAUCCAUAUUCCAGUACAAUGCAUUGAUGAAUUCAUUCUAUUCACAUUGGAUCAAGAUACCAGAACAGUGUACAUUUUGGACCCUACUCCUAUUAAUCCAAUGUACCGAUACAACCCACUCGCAAAAUAUGUGAAAAAAAUUAUAUGGAUUUCCGAACAUUUACCGAAAGCAAUGUCAAAAGCAUGCUCUGGGUCUAGAUGGAACGAUGAUAUUCUCUUAUG